Molecule: ribosomal RNA, 808 nt
Filed under: Alteromonas macleodii
Lineage: Bacteria; Pseudomonadati; Pseudomonadota; Gammaproteobacteria; Alteromonadales; Alteromonadaceae
Description: bacterial SSU rRNA
Rfam family: Bacterial small subunit ribosomal RNA
Source: RNAcentral
GAGUGGCGGACGGGUGAGUAAUGCUUGGGAACUUGCCUUUGCGAGGGGGAUAACAGUUGGAAACGACUGCUAAUACCGCAUAAUGUCUUCGGACCAAACGGGGCUUCGGCUCCGGCGCAAAGAGAGGCCCAAGUGAGAUUAGCUAGUUGGUAAGGUAACGGCUUACCAAGGCGACGAUCUCUAGCUGUUCUGAGAGGAAGAUCAGCCACACUGGGACUGAGACACGGCCCAGACUCCUACGGGAGGCAGCAGUGGGGAAUAUUGCACAAUGGGGGAAACCCUGAUGCAGCCAUGCCGCGUGUGUGAAGAAGGCCUUCGGGUUGUAAAGCACUUUCAGUUGUGAGGAAAAGUUAGUAGUUAAUACCUGCUAGCCGUGACGUUAACAACAGAAGAAGCACCGGCUAACUCCGUGCCAGCAGCCGCGGUAAUACGGAGGGUGCGAGCGUUAAUCGGAAUUACUGGGCGUAAAGCGCACGCAGGCGGUUUGUUAAGCUAGAUGUGAAAGCCCCGGGCUCAACCUGGGAUGGUCAUUUAGAACUGGCAGACUAGAGUCUUGGAGAGGGGAGUGGAAUUCCAUGUGUAGCGGUGAAAUGCGUAGAUAUCGGAGGAACAUCAGUGGCGAAGGCGACUCCCUGGCCAAAGACUGACGCUCAUGUGCGAAAGUGUGGGUAGCGAACAGGAUUAGAUACCCUGGUAGUCCACACCGUAAACGCUGUCUACUAGCUGUGUGUGUCUUUUAAAGCGUGCGUAGCGAAGCUAACGCGCUAAGUAGACCGCCUGGGGGAGUACGGCCGCAAGGUUAAAACUC